CUUUAGUGGCGAACGGGUGCGUAAUACGUGAGAAUCUGCCCUUAGGAGGAGUAUAACUGUUGGAAACGACUGCUAACACUCCAUAUGUCGAGAGAUGAAAUAAUUUAUUGCCUAAGGAUGAGCUCGCGCCUGAUUAGCUAGUUGGUGAGGUAAUGGCUCACCAAGGCCACGAUCAGUAGCUGGUUUGAGAGAACGAUCAGCCACACUGGGACUGAGACACGGCCCAGACUCCUCCGGGAGGCAGCAGUGAGGAAUUUUCCGCAAUGGGCGAAAGCCUGACGGAGCAAUACCGCGUGAGGGAUGAAGGAUUUUGGUCUGUAAACCUCUUUUCUCAAGAAAGAAGUUCUGACGGUACUUGAGGAAUAAGCAUCGGCUAACUCCGUGCCAGCAGCCGCGGUAAUACGGGGGAUGCAAGCGUUAUCCGGAAUCAUUGGGCGUAAAGCGCCUGUAGGUUGUUUAAUAAGCCUGUUGUUAAAGACUAGGGCUCAACCCUAGGAAAGCAAUGGAAACUACUAGACUUGAGUAUGGCAGGGGUAGAGGGAAUUUCUAGUGUAG
This 555-nucleotide ribosomal RNA is filed under the name uncultured Chrysochromulina. RNAcentral describes it as "bacterial SSU rRNA". It matches the Rfam family "Bacterial small subunit ribosomal RNA", at positions 90 to 678 of the family's 1533-position model. The record is from RNAcentral. Lineage: Eukaryota; Haptophyta; Prymnesiales; Chrysochromulinaceae.